Molecule: non-coding RNA, 2252 nt
Organism: Rattus norvegicus (Norway rat)
Lineage: Eukaryota; Metazoa; Chordata; Mammalia; Rodentia; Muridae
Source: the annotation of a RefSeq genome assembly
CUGAGAGGAAAGGGAGCUUUCUGGAGGGCAGGAGACAGUACAGAGGAGAACAACGUGCUGUGGACAAGUCCUGAGUGGGGAAAGGAUGAGCAAACAUAGGCAUCAGGAGGGUGGGUGCAGUGUCCUGCCAAGAACUGCCAAGAGGAUCCCAGGCCAGAGCAGGCAGGGUCUCGCUAGGCUAGCCAAGGCUAGCCUGAAAGAUACCAUCCUUCAGGUGUGCCCAUCCAGCUGAGUUAAGGUGGAGAUCUCUCCAAACAGCUGAGUUUCUGAGGUUUGGACCCCACAGGGGAUCCCAAGGAACUUUGGGCUGGGUUUUAUAUGGCCCUGGAUGGAGGGCUACUUAACUGUGUCUAUAGUUACUCUGAUGACUGGGUCUAGGGAACUCAGGUCACUGUCUCCUCAGGUGAGUCCUGUGUCUGGGGACUGUGGAGUUCAGAUGGGCCAAGGCAGGCUGUAGUGAGAGUUUUAGUACAGGAACAGUGGCAGAACAGAGACUGUGCUACUACUGGUACUUUGACUUCUGGGGCCCAGGAACCAUGGUCACCGUGUCCUCAGAGAGUCAGUCCUCCCCAACUGUCUUCCCCCUCGUCUCCUGCGAGAGCCCCCUGUCUGAUGAGAAUUUGGUGGCCAUGGGCUGCCUGGCCCGGGACUUCCUGCCCAGCUCCAUUUCCUUCUCCUGGAACUACCAGAACAACACUGAAGUCAUGCAGGGUGUCAGAACCUUCCCAACACUGAGGACAGGGGACAAAUACACAGCUACCUCGCAGGUGUUACUGUCCGCCAAAAAUGUCCUUGAAGGUUCAGAUGAAUACUUGGUAUGCAAAAUCCACCAUGGCAACAAAAACAAAGAUCUGCAUGUGCCGAUUCCAGCUGUCGUUGAGAUGAACCCCAAUGUGAGUGUGUUCAUUCCACCACGUGAUGCCUUCUCUGGCCCUGCACCCCGCAAGUCCAGACUCAUCUGCGAGGCCACCAACUUCAGUCCCAAACAGAUCACAGUAUCCUGGCUACAGGAUGGGAAGCCUGUGAAAUCUGGCUUCACCACAGAGCCAGUGACUGUCGAGGCCAAAGGAUCCAGACCCCAAACCUACAAGGUCAUAAGCACACUGACCAUCACUGAAAGCGACUGGCUGAACCUGAAUGUGUUCACCUGCCGCGUGGAUCACAGGGGUCUCACCUUCUGGAAGAACGUGUCCUCCACAUGCGCUGCCAGUCCAUCUACAGACAUCCUAGCCUUCCCCAUCCCCCCCUCCUUUGCUGACAUCUUCCUCACCAAGUCUGCUAAGCUGUCCUGUCUGGUCACAAACCUGGCAACCUAUGACACCCUGAAUAUCUCCUGGUCUUCCAAAAGUGGUGAACCACUGGAGACCAACACUAAAAUCAUGGAAAGUCACCCCAAUGGCACCUUCAGUGCUGUGGGUGUGGCUAGUGUUUGUAUGGAAGACUGGGAUAACAGGAAGGAAUUUGUAUGCACUGUGACUCACAGGGACCUGCCUUCACCACAGAAAAAAUUCAUCUCAAAACCCAAUGAGGUGGCCAAACAUCCACCUGCUGUGUACCUGCUGCCGCCAGCCCGUGAACAACUGAUCCUGAGGGAGUCGGCCACAGUCACCUGCCUGGUGAAGGGUUUCUCUCCUGCAGACAUCUUUGUACAGUGGCUUCAGAGAGGGCAACCCUUGUCCUCAGACAAGUAUGUGACCAGUGCCCCAAUGCCAGAGCCUGGGGCUCCAGGCCUGUACUUCACCCACAGCAUCCUGACUGUGACAGAGGAGGAAUGGAACUCCGGAGAGACCUACACCUGUGUUGUAGGCCACGAGGCCCUGCCACACAUGGUGACCGAGAGGACCGUGGACAAGUCCACUGAGGGGGAGGUGAAUGCUGAGGAGGAAGGCUUUGAGAACCUAUGGACCACCGCCUCUACCUUCAUCGUCCUCUUCCUCUUGAGCCUCUUCUACAGCACCACUGUCACCCUGUUCAAGGUGAAAUGACUCUCAGCAUGGAAGGACAUCAGAGAGCAAGAGACCCUCCCACAGGGACACUACCUCUGGGCCUGGGGUUCCUGCCUGUAUGACUAGUAAACUUAUUCCCACAUCUUUCCUGUGUUGCCCUCCAGCUUUGAUCUCUGAGACGGGCUUCUUUCUAGACUGGCCAAAGACUUUGUCCACUUGUGCAACCUGGAACAAUGUCUGGAACCACAGACAGCUGUGCUGUAUACAAAUGUCACUUUGAAAUAAAUACUUCACCUUGCGAACCCA